RNAcentral lists this ribosomal RNA (253 nucleotides) under uncultured bacterium. RNAcentral describes it as "partial 16S ribosomal RNA". It matches the Rfam family "Bacterial small subunit ribosomal RNA", at positions 524 to 776 of the family's 1533-position model. The record is from RNAcentral.
UACAGAGGUCCCAAGCGUUGUUCGGAUUCACUGGGCGUAAAGGGCACGUAGGCGGUGCGGUAAGUCACCUGUGAAAUCUCCUGGCUCAACUGGGAGCUUGCAGGCGAAACUGCCGUGCUGGAGUGUGGGAGAGGUGCGUGGAAUUCCUGGUGUAGCGGUGAAAUGCGUAGAUAUCAGGAGGAACACCGGUGGCGAAGGCGGAUCUCUGGGCCUUGCCUGACGCUGAGGAGCGAAAGCAUGGGGAGCGAACAGG